RNAcentral lists this small RNA (124 nucleotides) under Marmota monax (woodchuck). Lineage: Eukaryota; Metazoa; Chordata; Mammalia; Rodentia; Sciuridae. The record is from RNAcentral.
GCAGGGCGCGGUGGCGCACGCCUGUGAUCCCAGUGGUUGGGGAGGCUGAGGCAGGAGGAUCACGAGUUCAAGGCUAGCUCCGGCAAAAGCAUGGCGUAAACAACUCAAUGAGACUCUGUCUCUA